RNAcentral lists this ribosomal RNA (496 nucleotides) under uncultured bacterium. RNAcentral's name for it is "partial 16S ribosomal RNA". It matches the Rfam family "Bacterial small subunit ribosomal RNA", at positions 28 to 506 of the family's 1533-position model. The record is from RNAcentral.
GAUGAACGCUGGCGGCGUGCCUAAUACAUGCAAGUCGAGCGAACAGACGAGGAGCUUGCUCCUCUGACGUUAGCGGUGGACGGGUGAGUAACACGUGGAUAACCUACCUAUAAGACUGGGAUAACUUCGGGAAACCGGAGCUAAUACCGGAUAAUAUAUUGAACCGCAUGGUUCAAUAGUGAAAGACGGUUUUGCUGUCACUUAUAGAUGGAUCCGCGCCGCAUUAGCUAGUUGGUAAGGUAACGGCUUACCAAGGCAACGAUGCGUAGCCGACCUGAGAGGGUGAUCGGCCACACUGGAACUGAGACACGGUCCAGACUCCUACGGGAGGCAGCAGUAGGGAAUCUUCCGCAAUGGGCGAAAGCCUGACGGAGCAACGCCGCGUGAGUGAUGAAGGUCUUCGGAUCGUAAAACUCUGUUAUUAGGGAAGAACAAAUGUGUAAGUAACGAUGCACGUCUUGACGGUACCUAAUCAGAAAGCCACGGCUAACUACGU